AUUGAACGCUGGCGGCAUGCUUUACACAUGCAAGUCGAACGGUAACAGGCCGCAAGGUGCUGACGAGUGGCGAACGGGUGAGUAAUGCAUCGGAACGUGCCCAGUCGUGGGGGAUAACUACUCGAAAGAGUAGCUAAUACCGCAUACGAUCUAUGGAUGAAAGCGGGGGACCGUAAGGCCUCGCGCGAUUGGAGCGGCCGAUGUCAGAUUGGGUAGUUGGUGGGGUAAAGGCUCACCAAGCCAACGAUCUGUAGCUGGUCUGAGAGGACGACCAGCCACACUGGGACUGAGACACGGCCCAGACUCCUACGGGAGGCAGCAGUGGGGAAUUUUGGACAAUGGGCGCAAGCCUGAUCCAGCAAUGCCGCGUGCAGGAAGAAGGCCUUCGGGUUGUAAACUGCUUUUGUACGGAACGAAACGGCUCUGGUUAAUACCCGGGGCUAAUGACGGUACCGUAAGAAUAAGCACCGGCUAACUACGUG
This 482-nucleotide ribosomal RNA is filed under the name uncultured bacterium. RNAcentral's name for it is "partial 16S ribosomal RNA". It matches the Rfam family "Bacterial small subunit ribosomal RNA", at positions 30 to 507 of the family's 1533-position model. The record is from RNAcentral.